This 253-nucleotide ribosomal RNA is filed under the name uncultured bacterium. RNAcentral's name for it is "partial 16S ribosomal RNA". It matches the Rfam family "Bacterial small subunit ribosomal RNA", at positions 524 to 776 of the family's 1533-position model. The record is from RNAcentral.
UACGUAGGGUGCAAGCGUUGUCCGGAAUUAUUGGGCGUAAAGAGCCUGUAGGCGGUUUGUCGCGUCUGCUGUGAAAUUUCGGGGCUCAACCCCGAACUUGCAGUGGGUACGGGCAGACUAGAGUGUGGUAGGGGAGACUGGAAUUCCCGGUGUAGCGGUGAAAUGCGCAGAUAUCAGGAGGAACACCGAUGGCGAAGGCAGGUCUCUGGGCCAUAACUGACGCUGAGAAGCGAAAGCAUGGGGAGCGAACAGG